GAUAAGAACGCAGCGAAAUGCGAUAAGUAAUGCGAAUUGCAGAAUUUCCGUGAGUCAUCGAAUCUUUGAACGCACAUUGCGCCCACUGGUAUUCCGGUGGGCAUGCCUGUUCGAGCGUCAUUAUCCUCCCUCAAACCCCGGGUUUGGUGUUGGACCCAAGUUGUGUGAACAACUGGUCUCAAAGACAAUGACGGCGUCCGUGGGACCCUCGGUGCAACGAGCUUUUAGGAGCACGCGCCGAGUUGCAAGGACCUUCCGGGCCGGUCUCCUUUACUAUUUUACAAGGUUGACCUCGGAUCAGGUAGGAAUACCCGCUGAACUUAAGCAUAUCAAUAAGCGGAGGA
This 344-nucleotide unclassified non-coding RNA is filed under the name soil metagenome. RNAcentral's name for it is "partial contains 5.8S ribosomal RNA, internal transcribed spacer 2, and large subunit ribosomal RNA". The stretch from base 4 to 120 matches the Rfam family "5.8S ribosomal RNA", at positions 39 to 154 of the family's 154-position model. The record is from RNAcentral.